This is a non-coding RNA of Meleagris gallopavo (turkey), 279 nucleotides long. NCBI's taxonomy places the organism in Eukaryota, Metazoa, Chordata, Aves, Galliformes, Phasianidae. The record is from RefSeq and is a predicted model, not a curated record.
UCGCGAGUGCCGCUGGCUUUACGGGGGUGGGAGACCCUUGUGCUAAGGAGCUCGUACAGGGAGACAGAGCUCAGUCGUGCUCACGGAAGAGGGCUUGAGCGAAUAUAAGAGAAACUUCAGGUGGAAAACCCCCGAGCUGUGUCUCCCAUCCCAAGAGCAGAAGUCCCCGUGGGCAGGCCUGCGGUCGGAUCAGUUGGUAUGUUGUUUUUUAAGGAAUCACAAGAGAGCCAAACUUCAUUUCAAAGAGAAGAGUACCUUACCAUAACCCACAGAUUUCAA